AGUAAGGUCAGCUAAUUAAGCUAUCGGGCCCAUACCCCGAAAAUGUAGGUUCCCAACCUUCCCAUACUA
This 69-nucleotide transfer RNA is filed under the name Doedicurus sp. FD-2016a. Its description in RNAcentral is "tRNA-Met". It matches the Rfam family "tRNA". Rfam says of the family: Transfer RNA (tRNA) molecules are approximately 80 nucleotides in length. Their secondary structure includes four short double-helical elements and three loops (D, anti-codon, and T loops). Lineage: Eukaryota; Metazoa; Chordata; Mammalia; Cingulata; Chlamyphoridae. RNAcentral also lists the same sequence under 1 other name. The record is from RNAcentral.